UGGGGAAUAUUGCACAAUGGGCGCAAGCCUGAUGCAGCCAUGCCGCGUGUAUGAAGAAGGCCUUCGGGUUGUAAAGUACUUUCAGUCGGGAGGAAGGUGGUAAGGUUAAUAACCUUAUCAAUUGACGUUACCGACAGAAGAAGCACCGGCUAACUCCGUGCCAGCAGCCACGGUAAUACGGAGGGUGCAAGCGUUAAUCGGAAUUACUGGGCGUAAAGCGCACGCAGGCGGUUGAUUGAGUCAGAUGUGAAAUCCCCGGGCUUAACCCGGGAAUUGCAUCUGAUACUGGUCAGCUAGAGUCUUGUAGAGGGGGGUAGAAUUCCAUGUGUAGCGGUGAAAUGCGUAGAGAUGUGGAGGAAUACCGGUGGCGAAGGCGGCCCCCUGGACGAAGACUGACGCUCAGGUGCGAAAGCGUGGGGAGCAAACAGG
RNAcentral lists this ribosomal RNA (429 nucleotides) under Chloroflexota bacterium. RNAcentral describes it as "Chloroflexi bacterium partial 16S ribosomal RNA". It matches the Rfam family "Bacterial small subunit ribosomal RNA", at positions 355 to 776 of the family's 1533-position model. The record is from RNAcentral. Lineage: Bacteria; Bacillati; Chloroflexota.